Molecule: long non-coding RNA, 855 nt
Filed under: Homo sapiens (human)
Lineage: Eukaryota; Metazoa; Chordata; Mammalia; Primates; Hominidae
Description: non-protein coding lnc-ANKRD36B-3:29
Source: RNAcentral
AGAUGACCUUUGCCAAGAGCACAGCCGUCUUUCACGGUCACAGAGAGGUAGGACAAAAUGAGUGGUGUUCAAGAAUUGGUUUGUAGCACAAUAUUUCAACUAUGUCCUUUAAAAAGUUUCUCCACAGACACUACCCAAAGCAGUGCUUCACUACAGUGGCAGACAGACCUGAAAAUUUUCAUCUGAAGCAGCAGAGUGAACUGCAGAGGCAGGUCACCAACCAGUGUGGAGGCUAAAAGCGGGCCUCUUUGGGGAUUCCAGGUGGAAGUGUUGGACAUCUGUAGUAUUCCUGGUCUCGAAUCAUCCUGAUAUUCUUCAUUUUGUUAUUCACAUUGGACUAGGCAGGAACAAAGAUCACCACAACUGGCUCCCCUUCAACUAUGUUAGAUGGCAACUUGCCUUCAGUAUGGUGAAACACAUCAGUUAAGACCGGGGUUGUGCAUGGCAGGACUUUCUACAAGGACACCCAGUCUCCUUAAUAAACAUGAGAUGCUCUCUUUCCAGAAUUUCUCUUGCCUGACACAGCAUAGGAAGAUGCUGAACGGCCACACAGUGAUCCAUUGGUCAGUGGUGACAUAAGGAGGUCAGAGGGGAGGAGUGAGGAGAAGUAGGGAAGACUAGGUGGUUGUAGGCCUCCUUCAUCUGUUCAUUGGCUGUGGCAUUAGGCCAGCUACUCUUUGCACUUCUGUAAAGUGAGACGGUCGAUCUUGUCUGCCUCUCUAGAGGAUGGUUGCAGGUGUCAAAUGGGGUAGUUAGGUGGGAGGGCAUUUCACAAAGUUAAAAAAUAUGACUUUGGAGGCUUGUUAUAUUGAUGAGGAUUAUAAUCCCUGAGAAUUCCUGGUAUGAAGAAGGGAA